Anopheles aquasalis is the source of this 1563-nucleotide RNA transcript. It is a transcript of the gene named serine protease inhibitor 42Dd, with no coding region annotated. Lineage: Eukaryota; Metazoa; Arthropoda; Insecta; Diptera; Culicidae. The record is from RefSeq and is a predicted model, not a curated record.
ACCGAUUCACCGGAGCUAUGGGAACCGGCUCGCGGAACAAGCUCGUGGCAAUCGUUUCUGCAUCGUCGUUUGUGCUGGUCGCUUUAUCGUUUGUGCAGACUUAUCAACCCGAGAUAGCAGAGGACAAUUUUCUUACCAUGGCCGCAACUAUUGACGCCCAGUUCGUGCAGCAGUCGAACGAUUUCGCCGUUCAGCUCUACAAGCAAGUGAGUGCAAAGAAUGCUGGACAAAAUGUGGUCAUUUCCCCGCUAUCGAUCAGUGGUUGCCUUUCGUUGGCCGCCAUGGGUGCCGGUGGAUUAACGGCUGAAGAAUUGUUCGCCGGAUUGCGCUACGGAAAGGCUGACCAAAGGCAGCAGGUUGCCGAAUCGUACGGACGGCUUAUGCAGCGUCUGGCAUCCGAUAAAACCCUCGCCAUGGCCAACAAACUGUUCGUGAAGGAGGGUUAUAAGGUGAAAAGUUCCUUCAAUGAGGUAGCUACCGGCAGCUUCCAGUCCGAAGCCCAGGCCCUCAAUUUCGCCCAGAAUGUGGAGUCCGCCAAGACGAUCAAUGAUUGGGUGGAAGGAAAGACGAACAACAAAAUCAAGGAUCUGAUCGCACCCGACAUGCUAGACGAUCUGACCCGUAUGGUGCUGGUCAAUGCGGUGUACUUUAAAGGUACAUGGACGUAUCAGUUCGAUCCGGCCCGUACCCGCCCGAUGCCAUUCUGGAUCAGUGCUACCGAAUCACUGGACGUGCCGAUGAUGAACAUCAAGAAGCACUUCGGGUACAAUAACUUUGAAGAUAAAGGAUUCUCCGCCCUGGAGCUUACCUACAAUGGAAGCGACGUCACGAUGCUGGUGCUGCUACCGAACGAGCGCGAUGGAUUGGCCGCGUUGGAAGAAAAACUACCGAGCCUCAACCUGGCCGAGAUUACCUCACAGUUGUAUAAGCAAGAGGUCGAAGUAUUUCUCCCCAAAUUCAAGAUCGAAUUCUCGCUCGAUCUUAACGACGAUUUGACGGAGCUCGGCAUGGGCCGAAUGUUCACCGAUUCGGCCGAGUUUCCUGAGCUUUUGGAAGGAAACGAACCGCUCAAGGUUUCGAAGGUCGUCCACAAGGCGUUCAUUGAGGUGAAUGAAGAAGGAACCGAAGCAGCAGCCGCUACCGCUGCUGUUGUGCGUGUGAGGCGAGCCCUCAUUCACAGAUUAAAAUUGAUCGUUGAUCAUCCGUUCUUGUACGUUCUGUUGACCGGGAAUAGCGCUACACGGCAAGCGGUAUUUGUCGGGCGUAUGGCAGUCCCCGAUUCGACCGUGGCGGCAGCCAAGAACCGAGAUGAGUUGUAGAGUUCAGGGAUGCGCCCUCUACCCCACUCUCUUCCUCUCUCCCUCUCUCUCUCUCUAUCACUCUCUGUGUAGUGCAUAGGGUUUCAUUUGAACGUAGGACCAUUGAUAUCGCUUAUGCUCGUUCCGUGCCUGCAUGAUUAUGAUGUUGCGCUGCCUGCCGAUGCAUCCUUACUUCACGGCCGACCAUCCGUUUGUCUACUUUCUGAGGCACCAGCAACAGAUCUACUUUGCGGGCCGUAUGGCG